GUUGUAACUGCUGUUUUUAUAUAAUUAAUUUGGUCAGUUUCAUAAAAUUCUUUUUAUAAUGGUCAAGAGUGGACAAUACACAACAAUAAUCUUCAUACAAGCCAACAAGGUCAAUACCCGAUUAGAGUUAGUAAACAAAAAGCAAUAGAUCACCCAAGGACAUUGGCUGAGAUAAAUAUACUGUACUUAUACAAAAAUAUCA
RNAcentral lists this long non-coding RNA (202 nucleotides) under Mytilus galloprovincialis (Mediterranean mussel). Lineage: Eukaryota; Metazoa; Mollusca; Bivalvia; Mytilida; Mytilidae. The record is from RNAcentral.